This 399-nucleotide long non-coding RNA is filed under the name Elaeis guineensis (African oil palm). RNAcentral describes it as "long non-coding RNA (EGUI_LNC025168)". Lineage: Eukaryota; Viridiplantae; Streptophyta; Magnoliopsida; Arecales; Arecaceae. The record is from RNAcentral.
GGAAGAAAAAUAUGGUUUUGUGAAAAUUGUGGUUGUCAAGAUAGGGUUUUCUUUAUGUGGUGUCAAGGAACUGUUGUGGUUGUUUAUGUUAUAAUUUUUUACCAUUUUUGGAUUAAGGUUUGCAAGAUACUGCAUGUGCGGAGUGGAAUUUUUGGGGGUCAAGGAGCGUGGGAGACAUGAGGAUGUUGAGGUGGUUGUGGGGUAAGCUCGGACGUAUGGUGUUAGAGUUUUAGUAAAUCAGAUGAUGAUUAGGAAUGGGGGAAAACGGUUUGAGAUGGUUUAAAGUUCUCAGGAUACGUCAGAAUGCAGUGGCGAGGGAGGGCAUCACGUCUUUUAUAAAGGUUGAAUGGUUGCUAAUGCUUGGUUGAGAUCACUGAAGACUUGGAUGGAGGGGGGGAG